GAGUGUGAGAAGUAGGCAAAUCCGCUUCUCGCGAAGCAUGAGCUGUGAUGGGGAAGGAAAUUAAGUACGGAAGUUCCUGAUUUCACGCUGUCAAGAAAAGCCUCUAGGAAGAGUAGUACUGCCCGUACCGCAAACCGACACAGGUAGAUGAGGAGAGAAUCCUAAGGUGAGCGAGAGAACUCUCGUUAAGGAACUCGGCAAAAUGACCCCGUAACUUCGGGAGAAGGGGUGCUCUAUUAGGGUGCAAGCCCGAGAGAGCCGCAGUGAAUAGGCCCAGGCGACUGUUUAGCAAAAACACAGGUCUCUGCAAAACCGUAAGGUGACGUAUAGGGGCUGACGCCUGCCCGGUGCUGGAAGGUUAAGAGGAGUGCUUAGCUUCGGCGAAGGUACGAAUUGAAGCCCCAGUAAACGGCGGCCGUAACUAUAACGGUCCUAAGGUAGCGAAAUUCCUUGUCGGGUAAGUUCCGACCCGCACGAAAGGCGCAACGAUCUGGGCACUGUCUCAACGAG
RNAcentral lists this ribosomal RNA (510 nucleotides) under Listeria monocytogenes. Its description in RNAcentral is "bacterial LSU rRNA". It matches the Rfam family "Bacterial large subunit ribosomal RNA", at positions 1521 to 2028 of the family's 2925-position model. The record is from RNAcentral. Lineage: Bacteria; Bacillati; Bacillota; Bacilli; Caryophanales; Listeriaceae.